GACGAACGCUGGCGGCGUGCCUAAUACAUGCAAGUAGAACGCACAGUUUAUACCGUAGCUUGCUACACCAUAGACUGUGAGUUGCGAACGGGUGAGUAACGCGUAGGUAACCUGCCUGGUAGCGGGGGAUAACUAUUGGAAACGAUAGCUAAUACCGCAUAAUAUUAAUUAUUGCAUGAUAAUUAAUUGAACGGUGCAAUUGCACCACUACCAGAUGGACCUGCGUUGUAUUAGCUAGUAGGUGAGGUAACGGCUCACCUAGGCGACGAUACAUAGCCGACCUGAGAGGGUGAUCGGCCACACUGGGACUGAGACACAGCCCAGACUCCUACGGGAGGCAGCAGUAGGGAAUCUUCGGCAAUGGACGAAAGUCUGACCGAGCAACGCCGCGUGAGUGAAGAAGGUUUUCGGAUCGUAAAGCUCUGUUGUAAGAGAAGAACGGGUGUGAGAGUGGAAAGUUCACACUGUGACGGUAUCUUACCAGAAAGGGACGGCUAACUACGUG
This 505-nucleotide ribosomal RNA is filed under the name uncultured bacterium. RNAcentral describes it as "partial 16S ribosomal RNA". It matches the Rfam family "Bacterial small subunit ribosomal RNA", at positions 28 to 507 of the family's 1533-position model. The record is from RNAcentral.